Aotus nancymaae (Ma's night monkey) is the source of this 4056-nucleotide long non-coding RNA. NCBI's taxonomy places the organism in Eukaryota, Metazoa, Chordata, Mammalia, Primates, Aotidae. The record is from Ensembl.
GAAGGGAUGAAGAGAUGCCCUUGUUUCCAGACUUGUCUAUCAUUCUUGAAGGAACAGAUGGGCUCCGGAGCUGGGGAAUGUGAACUACCACUCCUGAUGGCUCUGGUCACAUUGAUGACUUUGUUCUUGCCUUACACUUCAGAGCCCAGUGGUUACAGUGGCAAUGGGAGUGUAUGUCCCAGCACAAGGCAUUGCAGACCCUCCCACCUUAGCAGAAUAUAGUUCUUCCUCUGCUCCAUAAGGACUUGGAAUUCCCCAACCUGACUAGUAGAGUGGCAAUAACCAGACUCCUGUGUUUGUUGGGAGAGUUCAGAGUUCCUGAGAAACAGGUUCCCUUGAAGCCCUGCUUCCCUGGGGAAUUGGACCUGAGGCUACCCUGCCUCUGUGUCUCCACAGCUGGUGAUGAAAUGCAUGAGACCAGAAGAUGUGUCGGUGCUGUACAUCACUCAGGCCCAGGAAAUGGAGAAGCAGGGCAAGUACUGUGAGGCUGAAAGGCUCUAUGUGACAGUAGAAGAGUCUGAUCUUGCCAUCACCAUGUACAAAAAGCACAAGCUGUAUGAUGACAUGAUCCGCCUGGUUGGGAAGCACCAUCCAGAUCUCUGCAGUGACACACACCUACAUCUGGGCAAGGAGCUGGAGGCUGAAGGCCGACUACAGGAGGCCGAGUACCACUACCUCGAGGCCCAGGAAUGGAAGGCAACAGUGAACAUGUACCGAGCCAGUGGGUUUUGGGAAGAGGCCUAUGGGGUAAGGAAUUCAGGCCACACUGAGGGAUACAUGCAUCCUUUAUUCCCACAUUUUUUUUUCUUUUUUUUCUUUUUUCAGACAGGGUGUCACUGUCACCCAGGCUGGAGUGCAGUGAUGAAAUUACAGCUCACUGCAGCCUUGACCUUCUGGGCUUAAGCAAUGGAUCCUCUCACUUCAACCUCCUGUGUAGCUGGGACUACAGGCAUGCACACCACACCUGGCUAAUUUUUAACUUUUUUUAUAGAGGCAGGUUUUCACCAUGUUGCCCAGGCUGGUCUUGAAUCCCUGGGCUCAAGCAAUCUACCUGCCUUGGCCUCCCAAAGUGUUGAAUUACAGGCAUGAGCCACCAUCCAGCCCUCUUUCCCAUUUUAAGUGACUAAUUCACAAUCAGUCAGAGCAUCUUUGAAAAUGGAGUGAAGAUCAGAGUCUCUCUUGCCAGAACCACAUCCACAUCUAUAUACAGAAAAUGUCACAUAUAAUUUUAAGGGUCUGUGGCAGGUGAAGCCUAUCCUUGGACCCUAAGUACUUCAACCUAAGUUAAGAAACCCUGAGAUGUAGCCCUCUUCCUGUUAACUUUUUAUUUUAUUUUAUGAGACGGAGUCUCACUCUGUCACCCAGGCUGAAGUGCAGUGGCACAAUCUUGGCUCACCGCAGCCUCUAUCUCCCAGGUUCAAGCAGUUCUCCUGCCUCAGCCUCCCGAAUAGCUGGGACUACAGGCACUCACCAUGCCCAGCUAAUUUUUGUAUUUUUAGUAGAGAUGGGCUUUCACUAUGUUGGCCAGGCUGCUCUCAAACUCCUGGGCUCAAGUGAUCAGCCUGACUCUGCCUCCCAAAAUGCUGGGAUUACAGUCAUAAGCCACUGCACCCAGCCUCUCCCUGUUAAUUUAGAACAGUUACUGGAUCCUUGUCAAAGCCAAGGUCAGAGAUGAGACAAGAGCAACUCUGUAUUGGAGGAUUAUUGAGUGAGUUUGCUUUACACGUGGCCAUGACUCAAGGAAGGGCUAAUGCCUACAAACACGUGGCCUAUCUGUGGGCAAGGAGCCUGGGAGGAGAAGCUGCAGUUGGACUGCUUACCAAGCUGGGACUCCCAGAAGCUUCUGUUGACCAUGCUGCAGAUAAUUGGUGAGGCCCCAGACUUUCUCUCCACGAGCCCCAUCCCAGCCAGAGGCCCUCUCUAGAUAAAGAAAAUUGAUGUAUACCUGAAAAAUAUUUCUAGAAGCGGAGGCAAGAAUGAAGAAAUGUGGUAAACGAAGAUCCUUGGAAAGACAUGAUAGAGUGGCAAGAAUAAAUUAACUUCUUCUAUUCCCUAGGGGCUCAGAACAGUGUUUAAUUUUUGGCCGUUCUAAGAAGGAUGGAGAGGGAACAGACUGUAAAGCCAGCACUGCAGACUGCACUAAGCCAGUCACUUGCUUCUGGGUAGUGGAAGUGUGAUUCUGUCAAAUGCAAGGCGAACUUUUCUUUUUUUUGGAAGCACCAGAUCUCAUGAGGUAUUUUAUUUGUAAAAAGGUAUUACAUCUCUAGAAAAACAAUCCCAGGAUUUUCCGCCCAAUGCAUUGUUGUCUUGCUUCUUCAUGGUCCAUGAUGCCAGCUGAGGUUGUCAGUACAAUAAAACCAAACCGGUGGCCUGGCGUGGUGGCUCACGCCUGUAAUUCCAGCACUUUGGGAGGCCAAGGCGAGUGGAUCACGAGGUCCAGAGUUCAAGACGAGCCUGGCAAAUAUGGUGAAACCCCCGUCUCUACUAAAAAUACAAAAAUUAGCUGGGCAUGGUGGUGGGCACCUGUAGUCCCAGCUACCUGAGAGGCUGAGGCAUGAGAAUCGCUUGAACCUGGGAGAUGGAGUUUGCAUUAAGCCAAGAUCCUGCCAUUGCACUCCAGCCUGGUCAACUGAGUGAGACUCUAUCUCAACAACAACAAAAAAUCAAAUUGGCAGGAUGGGAGCAGAUUAUUCUGCCAUUUUUCUACAUCUCUGAGUUGCAUGUCGAAUCUGGGGCUAAUCACUCCACACUUGUUUAGCCUGCCUGUGAGGUUCACAACAAUUUUCCUAGCUCUGUGAUCAUCAGUGAUUUCAAAUCCGCCCAAUGUUACCAUAUUUCAUAAUCGCAGUUAGAAACCGGACAAUGACUUAGGGGCACAGCCUAAUAAGAAUCUGGUGUUUGUCUCUCUUUCUGGCAUUGCUGAUGCUCUUGAGAGCAUCAGCCAGAACAUUCAUGUGCACCAUUGUGGAGGCGCAGAAAGACGGCAGAAAGAGCAAAGUGAACUUUUCUUAAGCAACUGUUAUAAAUGCCAAUCGUGGAGUCCGAUGCUGAGGGUGAUCUUGCUCAGUUUUUGGAGAGACUGUGUUUCUGAUAAUGUAGCUGGGGCUCAGGAGGAGGUGGUGAGCACCAGGAGCCCUCCUGGCCCUGUCAGCAUAGGACUUCGAGGCUCACUCCUCCCUUCCCCUUCACAGGCCCAUUCUCCUUCCUCAGGAGCAGCUGGCCUUAGGGAAGGCAUAGGCUUUUCCAGACGUCUCUGGAUCCACGCUGACAGUGACGUGGUCUUCACAGGGCUGUCUGUCUUCCUUUUUAUCUCUGUGCUUUUCUGUCACUUCAUGUCUGUUAUCUUUAAACCUGUCACUUUUUCUCCCCUCAACCCUGUCCUUUCUCUGUUUUGUCUUGUCUUGUUCCUUUUAUGAAGGGAAGUGUGAAGUAAGAAAACUUUUUCUGCCCCUUCUGUUUCAGCUCCUUUGAAUUUGCUUUUGAACUCUCUCGGCUGGCCCUCAAGCACAAAACCCCCGAGAUCCAUCUCAAACACGCUUUGUACCUGGAGGAUGAGGUACGGGUGUUAUUUGGACCCUGACCGCAGAGCCCUCUUGUUCCAUCCCCUAGUGCACUGCUGCCUGGUGUGCAGACCCCGGUCUCAUGGCUGCCUGUGAUGCCAGUCUCCUUCCCAUCACGCACAGCUGUCCUUCUCCCUGUAGGUUAAAUUGGAAGAGGCUGAAGCUGAAUUCAUCAGAGCUGGUAAAACCAAGGAAGCAGUCCUCAUGUGAGUUACCCCAUACAUUCCUUAAUCCUGUUUCCCCAGUCCCAGUCCCAGAGUCUUUCAUGAUUAUCUUGACCUUCAUUCAAACCUAGAACAAAUCAGUGUUACACACCUCAGUGACAUGGCUGUUUGUCUCCUAGAAUUGGGGCCUCAGUCCUAUACUCAGUCUCUUCUCUGUCCCCAUCUGGGGGCAGGUUUGUCCAUAACCAGGACUGGGAGGCAGCUCAGCGUGUGGCCGAGGUUCACAUGAGGUGCUUGUGGGACAGGCUCGGAGGGCCUUGGAGGAGAAGGAC